Molecule: ribosomal RNA, 253 nt
Filed under: uncultured bacterium
Lineage: Bacteria
Description: partial 16S ribosomal RNA
Rfam family: Bacterial small subunit ribosomal RNA
Source: RNAcentral
UACAGAGACUGCAAGCGUUAUUCGGAUUCACUGGGCGUAAAGGGUGCGCAGGCGGUUGGGUGUGUCAGAUGUGAAAUCCCGAGGCUCAACCUCGGAACUGCGUCUGAAACUACUCGACUAGAGUACUGGAGAGGGUAACGGAAUUCACGGUGUAGCAGUGAAAUGCGUAGAUAUCGGGAGGAACACCGGUGGCGAAGGCGGCGACCUGGGUAGAUACUGACGCUGAGGUGCGAAAGCGUGGGGAGCAAACAGG